GGCUACUCAGAGCUCCAGGACAGUGUGU
RNAcentral lists this non-coding RNA (28 nucleotides) under Homo sapiens (human). Lineage: Eukaryota; Metazoa; Chordata; Mammalia; Primates; Hominidae. The record is from RNAcentral.